This 1593-nucleotide ribosomal RNA is filed under the name Caligus rogercresseyi. RNAcentral's name for it is "bacterial LSU rRNA". It matches the Rfam family "Bacterial large subunit ribosomal RNA", at positions 748 to 2401 of the family's 2925-position model. The record is from RNAcentral. Lineage: Eukaryota; Metazoa; Arthropoda; Copepoda; Siphonostomatoida; Caligidae.
AAGCUUUGUUAACCCAAAGUGGAGGACCGAACCCGUUGACGUUGAAAAGUCUUGGGAUGACCUGAGGGUAGGGGUGAAAGGCCAAUCAAACUCGGAAAUAGCUCGUACUCCCCGAAAUGCAUUUAGGUGCAGCGUUGAUUUAUAGUUUUAUAGAGGUAGAGCUACUGAUUGGAUGCGGGGGCUUCACCGCCUACCAAUUCCUGACAAACUCCGAAUGCUAUAAAAUGUUAAUCAGCAGUGAGGGCAUGGGUGCUAAGGUCCAUGUCCGAGAGGGAAACAACCCAGACCAUCAGCUAAGGUCCCCAAAUGUAUGUUAAGUUGUAAUAACGCGGUUGAACUGCUUAGACAGCUAGGAUGUUGGCUUGGAAGCAGCCAUUCAUUUAAAGAGUGCGUAACAGCUCACUAGUCGAGCGGUUCGGCAUGGAUAAUAAUCGGGCAUAAACAUACUACCGAAGCUAUGGAUUUAUAUCUUAGAGAUAUAAGUGGUAGGGGAGCAUUCUAUAUGUAUUGAAGUUGAGCUGUGAGGCUUGGUAGAACGUAUAGAAAAGAAAAUGUAGGCAUAAGUAACGAUAAUGCGGGCGAGAAACCCGCACACCGAAAGACCAAGGUUUCCUCAGCUAUGCUAAUCAGCUGAGGGUUAGUCAGGACCUAACGCGAACCCGAACGGGGUAGUGGAUGGACAACGGGUUAAUAUUCCCGUACCUGCUCACAUUAAAAGCGACGGAUUCGAAUAGUUGGUGCGCACAGACGGAAUUGUGCGUUGAAGGGAGUAGUAAUACCCCGAUAGUACACUAAGGCUACGGCCGCGGUGAUAAUCCAGCGAAUCGAGUUCCAAGAAAAGCAAGUGAAGCAGCCUGUACCGUAAACCGACACAGGUGGUUGGGAUGAGAAUUCUAAGGUGCUCGAGAGAUUCAUGGCUAAGGAACUAGGCAAAAUCGACCCGUAACUUCGGGAGAAGGGUCGCCCAUCUUUUAGAUGGGCCGCAGUGAAGAGGUCCGGGCGACUGUUUAUCAAAAACACAGGGCUCUGCUAAAUCGAAAGAUGAUGUAUAGGGCCUGACACCUGCCCGGUGCCGGAAGGUUAAGAGGAGAGUUUAGCUUCGGCGAAGAUUUGAAUUGAAGCCCCGGUAAACGGCGGCCGUAACUAUAACGGUCCUAAGGUAGCGAAAUUCCUUGUCGGGUAAGUUCCGACCUGCACGAAUGGUGCAACGAUCUGGACACUGUCUCGGCCAUGAGCUCGGUGAAAUUGUAGUAUCGGUGAAGAUGCCGAUUACCCGCUGUGGGACGAAAAGACCCCGUGAACCUUUACUAUAGCUUCGUAUUGGCUUUGGAUAAAUAAUGUGUAGGAUAGGUGGGAGACUUUGAAGUGGCGUCGCCAGGCGUUGUGGAGUCAUUGUUGAAAUACCACCCUUUAUUUAUUUGAAGUCUAACGUCUAACGACGAACAGUGCGUGGUGGGUAGUUUGACUGGGGUGGUCGCCUCCAAAAGAGUAACGGAGGCUUUUAAAGGUUCCCUCAACACGGUUGGCAAUCGUGUGUAGAGUGUAAUGGCAUAAGGGAGCUUGACUGAGAGACCUACAAGUCGAUCAGGUACG